RNAcentral lists this ribosomal RNA (625 nucleotides) under uncultured fungus. RNAcentral's name for it is "eukaryotic LSU rRNA". It matches the Rfam family "Eukaryotic large subunit ribosomal RNA", at positions 23 to 664 of the family's 3401-position model. The record is from RNAcentral. Lineage: Eukaryota; Fungi.
ACCCGCUGAACUUAAGCAUAUCAAUAAGCGGAGGAAAAGAAACCAACAGGGAUUGCCCCAGUAACGGCGAGUGAAGCGGCAAUAGCUCAAAUUUGAAAUCUGGCCCUUUCAGGGUCCGAGUUGUAAUUUGCAGAGGGCGCUUUGGAGUCGGCAGCAGCCUAAGUUCCUUGGAACAGGUCAUCAUAGAGGGUGAGAAUCCCGUAUGUGGCUGCUUGCCUUCGCCGUGUAAAGCCCCUUCGAUGAGUCGAGUUGUUUGGGAAUGCAGCUCUAAAUGGGAGGUAAAUUUCUUCUAAAGCUAAAUAUUGGCCAGAGACCGAUAGCGCACAAGUAGAGUGAUCGAAAGAUGAAAAGCACUUUGGAAAGAGAGUCAAAAAGCACGUGAAAUUGUUGAAAGGGAAGCGCUUGCAGCCAGACGUGCCCGCAGUUGCUCAUCCGGGGAUUUCCCCGGUGCACUCUUCUGUGGGCAGGCCAGCAUCAGUUCGGGCGGUUGGAUAAAGACCUGUGUCACGUAGCUGUUUUCGGGCAGUGUUAUAGGGCAGGUGGAAUACAGCCAGCCUGAACUGAGGUCCGCGCAUCUGCUAGGAUGCUGGCGUAAUGGCUGUAAGCGGCCCGUCUUGAAACACGG